GACGAACGCUGGCGGCGUGCCUAAUACAUGCAAGUUGAGCGAUGAAGAUUGGUGCUUGCACCAAUUUGAAGAGCAGCGAACGGGUGAGUAACGCGUGGGGAAUCUGCCUUUGAGCGGGGGACAACAUUUGGAAACGAAUGCUAAUACCGCAUAACAACUUUAAACAUAAGUUUUAAGUUUGAAAGAUGCAAUUGCAUCACUCAAAGAUGAUCCCGCGUUGUAUUAGCUAGUUGGUGAGGUAAAGGCUCACCAAGGCGAUGAUACAUAGCCGACCUGAGAGGGUGAUCGGCCACAUUGGGACUGAGACACGGCCCAAACUCCUACGGGAGGCAGCAGUAGGGAAUCUUCGGCAAUGGGCGAAAGUCUGACCGAGCAACGCCGCGUGAGUGAAGAAGGUUGUCGGAUCGUAAAACUCUGUUGGUAGAGAAGAACGUUGGUGAGAGUGGAAAGCUCAUCAAGUGACGGUAACUACCCAGAAAGGGACGGCUAACUACGUG
This 497-nucleotide ribosomal RNA is filed under the name uncultured bacterium. RNAcentral describes it as "partial 16S ribosomal RNA". It matches the Rfam family "Bacterial small subunit ribosomal RNA", at positions 28 to 507 of the family's 1533-position model. The record is from RNAcentral.